UCACGAACACAAAUGCACUCU
This 21-nucleotide microRNA is filed under the name Oreochromis niloticus (Nile tilapia). RNAcentral's name for it is "oni-miR-10893". The record is from miRBase by way of RNAcentral. Lineage: Eukaryota; Metazoa; Chordata; Actinopteri; Cichliformes; Cichlidae.